RNAcentral lists this long non-coding RNA (1944 nucleotides) under Homo sapiens (human). RNAcentral's name for it is "HSALNT0273387". The record is from RNAcentral. Lineage: Eukaryota; Metazoa; Chordata; Mammalia; Primates; Hominidae.
CCCAGUUAAUUUUUUGUAUUUUUAAUAGAGAAGGGGUUUCACCGUGUUAGCCAGGAUAGUCUUGAUCUCCUGACCUCGUGAUCCACCUGCCUCGGCCUCCCAAAGUGCUGGGAUUACACACGUGAGCCACUGCACCCAGCCCAAAAGUUCCAUUUCUAAUUUGCCUACCUUAAUGACUUGAUUUUCUUAUUUUCAUAGUAAAUAGGAAUAUGUAUGUUGAAGAAAUAUGAACAUUAAUUUUCUCAUAACUGCACAGUCAAAAACAAUGUUUUAAACUUUAAUAAAUAUCAAUGACUUGUUUCAUACUUUGCUCCAUUACAAACACAAGGAAAGAAAAGAUGUACAAUGCCUGAGGAAUAGAAACACCAUCAAUCCUCAACAGGGUCACCUAACUGUCAUUAUGAAGCAAGGGACUCUUGCCAGAGAUUUGUGUCCUCAGUGAAAAAGGCCUCAUGGAAUUUUCUUGCUAAAAGGAACCUGAGACUUAUUGACACACGCGUCCUCCUUUUCCAGACGAAACACUCAAGGCUUAGGGAAGUCAAAGUGUACAGAAGGUCCCCGCUAAUUAGCAACAAAGCCAGACUCAGCACCCAGGUUGUUCUCGCUCCUGGAUCAGGGUUAUUUGUGAACAUCCCAUGUCCUCUUUAUGAUGGUUACAGAUGUUUCAUAUCAUCAAGGUUAAGAUGAAAGAUCUCAGAAGCUGCAGAAGUGCUUAGAUGCACCCACAGAAAACCACCGGAUCCAGCUAACUCACUCUUGUGAUUGGAAAGAAGCAUAUUCUGGUGAAGCAAAAGAUUUCUAUCUCCAGAAUAAUGCAGAAAGCAUUUUUACCUACCAAGCCACAACAAACCAGUGAAAGAACAUUUAGAUUUCCAGAGUCCAUCGGCAAUACAAAAGUCACCUAAAGAAUAAUGCCAGAGGCAUAUCUUCUCUUGUAGGUUGUAAAUUCCUUGAAAACGAGAACUGCUCAACUUCCCAUCUCCUACGACACCCAGCACACAGUUGAUGCUGGAAUUUCUUUUUAAUGAAUGAAACACACAAAUCAUUGCUUUAAACCCUGGAAUUGUGCCCUUUUCAAAAGAAGCACUUAAUAGACAUGUGUCUAAUUUCCUGUGCUGUCACAAAUAUUAUUUAAUCACACUGUUAAAAAUAAAGAACUCUGGGGCCCAUGAACUACAUUCUCCAGGCCAUUAGCUGCUCUUUCCACUUUGGGCCUCUCAGCUGUGCAGCCGGAAAUGGAUCGUGGGGAGAGGAGCUGCCACUCUUCUGCAAAUAUCCUGGAAUCUUGGCUAUGUCAGGAAGUGUUUGGAGAAUGCCUUGGAAGCUGAGAAAGUGUUUCCAAAGCAGCAUGCACACGAAGAUAUUUGAACCAGAGAACGUCCACUCUGAAAUAGAUGCAUGGAGUGCAUUCACAGAAUAUCACGUUUUUCUGAAGUUUAAAAGCUACAGCCCAGUACUCUGAACCCAAGAAUUAAGAGAGUUAAGAGAGCAAAUCAAGACAUGAAAAUGAUCCCCCCGUGGAAUAUGCCCCUGCUAUUGAGAGAAUAAACUACUGAUCUACGCAACAGCAUGGAUGAAUCUCAGAGACAUUUUGCUAACUGAGAGAAGUCAGACACAGAAGACAUAGUCAAUGAUUCCAUGUGUAUGAAAUUUCUAGAAAAGGCAAAACUAUAGAGACAGAAUGGCUGAUCAAUGUUGUGGCUGAUCAAAUCGAGGCACAGAAUGAUCAAUGGUUGCCUGGAGCUGCGGGUGGGAACAGGAGUGACCUCAAAGGAGCAAGGGGAACUUUUGGGGGUGGAUGGGAAUAUUGGGAAACUGGACUGUGAUGGUUGCUAAGUGCGUCAGUUCACGGAAACCUAUCACACUGUACCCUCACAAUGAGUGACGUUUAUGGUUUGUAAGUUAGACCUCAAUAAAGCUGUUUGUAAUCAUUUUAUUUAUUCU